UACGUAGGGUGCGAGCGUUAAUCGGAAUUACUGGGCGUAAAGCGUGCGCAGGCGGUUAUAUAAGACAGUUGUGAAAUCCCCCGGGCUCAACCUGGGAAUUGCAUCUGUGACUGUAUAGCUAGAGUACGGUAGAGGGGGAUGGAAUUCCGCGUGUAGCAGUGAAAUGCGUAGAUAUGCGGAGGAACACCGAUGGCGAAGGCAAUCCCCUGGACCUGUACUGACGCUCAUGCACGAAAGGCGUGGGGAGCAAACAGG
Molecule: ribosomal RNA, 255 nt
Filed under: uncultured bacterium
Lineage: Bacteria
Description: partial 16S ribosomal RNA
Rfam family: Bacterial small subunit ribosomal RNA
Source: RNAcentral